Molecule: transfer RNA, 87 nt
Filed under: Mesosutterella multiformis
Lineage: Bacteria; Pseudomonadati; Pseudomonadota; Betaproteobacteria; Burkholderiales; Sutterellaceae
Rfam family: tRNA
About the family: Transfer RNA (tRNA) molecules are approximately 80 nucleotides in length.
Source: Rfam by way of RNAcentral
GGAAGGGUGGCAGAGCGGUUUAAUGCAUCGGUCUUGAAAACCGACGAAGCUUCAAAACUUCCGUGAGUUCGAAUCUCACCCCUUCCG